CCGUCUCUGUUUCCCUUCUUCUACAUCAGCCUCCUGGCAGAGCCACCUUAAACAACAUCUGCUAGCCUCUUCACACAGACCUCAACUUUCUCAUCUACGUUCAGAGAAGAUGAAGCUUCAUGUUUUCUACAUCACUUUCAGGUUUGCAUUAAUGCAGAAUGUGUGGAUAUUGAGAAAGCCUACAAAUCAACCAAUUGCUCAUCUAAGUGCAAAGGACAUGCUGUGUGUGACCAUGAGCUCCAGUGUCAAUGUGAGGAAGGAUGGAGCCCUCCUGACUGCGAUGACUCCUCAGUGGUCUUCCGCCACUAUCUACCACUGGCACCAGGCCACACAAACAGAAGAGGAAACCCCAGAUGGUAAAGGCCGUUCAACCCCAAGAGGUGAACUAUAUAGUCUGGGCUGUGAUUACCAUGGCCCCACUUUGCGUUUCUCUCACACUCUUAUCCUGACUACCUAUCUAUCAUUUCUACCCAGCAGCGUUUUGCAAUAACACAUUCAGAAAUGUCUCCUUUGCCUUUUGUUAAAGGCAAAAGAGUCCCUAAAAUGCCGAGGC
Molecule: small RNA, 553 nt
Filed under: Pan troglodytes (chimpanzee)
Lineage: Eukaryota; Metazoa; Chordata; Mammalia; Primates; Hominidae
Description: retained intron
Source: RNAcentral